AAGCUUGUAGCCUGCCUUCCGCUUUGGGAUGACUCCCAUUUUUAGGGAGGAGACAUGAGCAUCUCUUUAUAUACGUAUCUCUGGCUAACGUUAGCGAUCUUGUGCAUACCGCGCUUAAGGCUAGAUUAGAUAUAUGUAUUCAUAUUGUUUUUGCAAACGUUCUAAACAAGCAGGCCAUACAAGUGAAAUAAUGUUCAGCAACUUAACUACUACUAUAGUUCUCACCCGGGCAUUUACGAAAGUGUCAAAAGUAUCAAAUAUGUCUGACACAUGGAAACACAAAAGUUCUAGCUUGCAAAAUGUGUUUUACAGGCAAUGCAGCUCCGAGGGAGACUACAAGUGAAGACUAUCAUCUAGGAUGCACUAGCGCGUCCUUAUCGAAUUAUUAGGCGCAUAUUGAAGAUGUUAAAAGUAUGGAAGGCCAAGAGUUUCAAAUUGUCCUAUGGGCAUUUUUACACGUGUUCAUUACACCUGUUCAGUGUGCAUUUACAGGAAUCUCCGAAUGCUAUGUUGAAUGAGCACCAUGGAUUAAGGAAGGGGAGGAAAACAGACAGCUUCUUUCUACCACAUCUUCACCAAGUCAUACAAUGUUUGCUUCAUGAACAAUUCUUACAUCUGAAAUAAAUACAGAAUCAUUUUAGUUUAUUCUGUUCCUAAUGCUGGAUGUGAGUAAUUUAGCAGGUCUAUAGUAUGUAUUGUUUUGAAACGUUUAUUUAAUAUCUAUUCAGUCAACUAAUUUAUUUUAUGUUUGCUAAAAGAAUGUAUGUUUUGUACUGUUACUUUUUACAUGCUGAAACAGUCUCAUUAGUUUUGAGCUAGGCUAUGAUUGGGGAAAUGUCUACUGUAAAUGUUUAUUUCCCUUAAUGAGAACUUGGACAAUGUCAGGGAAUAAGUAGGAUAAAUGGACAUCCUAUCAAUGACAAAAUAAACUGCAGAGGUAGCCUUAAAAGAUAACAUUAGAUCUGUGCAUGUUAUUACUGGACAGACGGCUAGCCAGAGCAGUGACCACAUUUUCACAUGGAUGUAUAUACAAAAUGCAACAUGUAAAGUGUUGGUCUCAUGCACUGAAAUAAAAGAUCCCAGACAUUUUCCAUAGGCACAAGAGGCUUAUUUAUCUCAAAUGUUGUGCACCCUGGUCCUUCCUCCGCUGCC
Molecule: long non-coding RNA, 1152 nt
Organism: Oncorhynchus tshawytscha (Chinook salmon)
Lineage: Eukaryota; Metazoa; Chordata; Actinopteri; Salmoniformes; Salmonidae
Source: Ensembl